CAGUAGAUAGUUUAAUUAAAAUAUUAAUUUUGGAGAUUAAUGAUGAUAUGUAAAUUUAUCUUUUCUGA
Molecule: transfer RNA, 68 nt
Filed under: Allacta hainanensis
Lineage: Eukaryota; Metazoa; Arthropoda; Insecta; Blattodea; Pseudophyllodromiidae
Description: tRNA-Pro
Source: RNAcentral